This 300-nucleotide unclassified non-coding RNA is filed under the name uncultured Chytridiomycota. RNAcentral describes it as "sequence contains 5.8S rRNA gene, ITS2". The stretch from base 1 to 67 matches the Rfam family "5.8S ribosomal RNA", at positions 84 to 154 of the family's 154-position model. The record is from RNAcentral. Lineage: Eukaryota; Fungi; Chytridiomycota.
GUGAAUCAUCGAAUCUUUGAACGCACCUUGCACUCAAUCUCGGUUGAGUAUGCCUGUCUGAGAAUCUUUAGAUUUCUUUACCCUUUGGGGUGAGAUUUGAGCUCUUUCAUUAAUAGUGAAUGGCUUUAAAUGCAGUGCUUUGUUUUUAACGUCAUAUUGUGACUCACCAAAGUGUAUGAAGGGUACGCCCACUUCCUUUAGUGUUAACAAUAGUUAAUAGCAAUGCCCAACGAAACCUUGGUUUCAAUAGGUUAGUUUACUAACUUGAACUUUGGUCUCAGAUCAGGUAGGAAGACCCGC